Non-coding RNA from Castor canadensis (American beaver), 591 nucleotides. Lineage: Eukaryota; Metazoa; Chordata; Mammalia; Rodentia; Castoridae. The record is from the annotation of a RefSeq genome assembly.
GGUGGAAAGAAAUUUUUGUUCUAAUUGGUAGAACAGAGUCUUCUUAUUUAAAAUCACUCCUUGGUGAACUGAGGAGAAAGAAUGAUGAGAUCCUUGAAUGCUUUACUAGUGAUCCUGUGGCUUCAAUUGAUCUGGGUGAGCAGCCAACAAAAAGAGGUGGAGCAGCAUCCGGAAUCCCUCAGUGUUCCAGAAGGAGCCAUGGCUUCUCUCAACUGCACUUACAGAGACAGUGCUUCUCAGAACUUCGGGUGGUACAGACAGUAUCCUGGGAAAGGCCUCAAGCUGCUGGUGUCCACAUUCUCCAGUGGCAACAAAGACGAAGGAAGAUACACAGCACAUCUUAAUAAAGCCAGCCGGUAUUUUUCCCUGCAUAUCAGAGGCUCCCAGCCCAGUGACUCAGCCACCUACCUCUGCGCAGUGAGCACACAGUGCUCCCCAGACACCUGCAGCCUGCACCAAAACCUAUGGGGACUCCUGCAGGGCCUGAGGCAGAGUACAGACCAUAGGGCAGAGAAAUUCUGUUGUGCCAUGGAAAUCAAGAGCAGUAGCAGGAAUGGUUUCAUUGACUGGGGAAGUGUUUUGAUGUUCUGA